AUGUUCUGCAGACGGGCAUGGCAGAGAGUCGGGCCGCUGGCACGGAGGUCUUUCAAGCCGACACACAGAUACGCUCCGGUGCGACACAUGGCCUUCGGUGUUCCCGGAGGCUCCACCAACAUGACGUACUUUGUUUUGUGUGGCGGCGGCCUCACUGCGGCAGUUGUUUAUGCAUACAAGACGGUCAACGAUGAUACCGAGCGUUACGAGGAAAGACUCGCCAACAUGGGCUCCAUGGCGAAGGCUUCUUCAGCAAAGGCAGCACCAGAGGCAGCUCCACCUGCAGUUGAGCCUGCACCAGUGGAGGAGGAAGCCCCUGCUGCUGAGGUCAUUGCUGAGUCGGCCACUGCUGCUGCUGCAGAACCUGUAGGAGAGACAGCUGCUGAACCUGUUGUGGAAGCUGCAUCUGAAGAAGCAGAAGCUGCCGCCGUCUCUGAGGCGGUCGUUCCAGAGGCAGCAGCUGAGACGGCAGCUGAGACGGCAGCUGAGUCAGCAGAGACGGAGGACGCCGCUCCACCUGUGGAGGCAGAGGUGUUUGCUGAAGCGGCUCUGGAGGCCCCAGCAGAGGAACCAGUGGCAGAAAACGCUGAGUCUGCACCAGAGCUGCUCACAGAUGUUAAGCUCUUGACCGGCUCAACAGCUGAAAUUGCUGCUGCUUCUGUUGGUGAGAAGAAUCCGAUGGAGACUGUCCAACAAACUGAAGGUGAAGGAAAGGGACACAAGGUGCUCGAAACAGAAGCUUUGGAAGAAGCCUCAGAGGCAGUGGCCAAGGAAGCAUCUGAAGAGGGAGCAGUUGUAGAAGGUGAGGAGGAGGUGAAGUCUGGAGAAGCUGUGGACAAGGAGGCAGCGGCUGGAUCUCAUCCUGAGGAAACAACAUCUCCAAUGCCCACUGUGGACGAGGCAGAGGCUGAAGUUCAACCUGCUCCUGAGGAGGCCAUCGCUGCUGAAGAUGCUGCUGAAGAUGAGGCUGUCUCCUCUGAAGAUGCUGCUCCUCCCGAGGAGGCCACAGUCACCGGUGAAGGUGCCCCACUGGAUGAGAUUUCAUCAGCUGACCAGGCAGCAGCUGAAACAUCUGCAGAGGAGACAGCUGAAGCUGCUGUCAGCACAACUCAGCUGGCAGCAGCCUCCGUUGGAGCGGACCUAGAGGUUCUUUCAGUUGCAGAAACAGAGCCUACAUCAGGAUCUCCUGUGCAUGAGGAGAAACCCUGCCACUCCUGCCACUCUGCUCCCUCAGCAGGAGAGGAGGUGGCGCCACCUGCUGCUGUAGGAGAGGAGCUGAUCGCCGAUGGAGCUGUGGAUACUUCACAAGAAGCCAAGGACGCAGCCUCAGCACAAAGUAAGAAUAAAAACUCCUCCACUCAAACACUGUUUCAGCUGAAAUGUUCCAACCUGGUCUGA
RNAcentral lists this long non-coding RNA (1398 nucleotides) under Oreochromis niloticus (Nile tilapia). RNAcentral describes it as "lncRNA (ENSONIG00000034875.1)". Lineage: Eukaryota; Metazoa; Chordata; Actinopteri; Cichliformes; Cichlidae. The record is from RNAcentral.